UGAUAGCGUUGAAGGAAAAGAUUACUAUAGAAAUGAAAGCAGAGAUGUAUAAGUUUCUACAGAGAGCUUUCUGGAGCGAAUGUCAAGUUUUGAAACUGACGGCAG
This is a regulatory RNA element of Oribacterium sinus F0268, 105 nucleotides long. It matches the Rfam family "S10-Clostridia ribosomal protein leader". The record is from Rfam. NCBI's taxonomy places the organism in Bacteria, Bacillati, Bacillota, Clostridia, Lachnospirales, Lachnospiraceae.